UCACCCCUCAAGCCCGGCUUGUUGUUGGUGGUGGCGCGGCCCCCUCCCGGGCCGCCGCCCCGCCCAAAGAUAAUGACGGCGUCUGUGAGGACUCCUGUACACUGAGCUUUCGGGCACGUACAUGGUUAGGAAUUCAGACGCCGGUCGCCGCCUUCCCCCCGGGGGAGGCACACCUUUCAUACCAA
This 185-nucleotide unclassified non-coding RNA is filed under the name uncultured Chaetothyriales. RNAcentral describes it as "sequence contains ITS2". The record is from RNAcentral. Lineage: Eukaryota; Fungi; Ascomycota; Eurotiomycetes; Chaetothyriales.